AAAGUCUGCCAAGCAUGGCGGUGUAGGCGCUGAGAACCCAGCCAUUUAGAACCGGUGUAACUGCUCCCUCCUGGGAGACACUUUCGGCGAUACUUUGCGAGUCGAAGGAACUGAUUUCUAUCGGAUAUCAGGAAUAAAUAAGGAAAACGCUGAAUUUUUCAAACUUUCAAAGCUACCAUUGCAGAGGAAAGAGUGAAAAACGAGAGAACAAAAACAAUUGAUAGAAAUGCUUCGAUCCUGGACAAUGGAAUCCGAGAACGGGAGCUUUUCAAUGCGCAAUGGAGGGUUACAAUAGAAAUUUCGUAAUGAGAUACGCGAAUGUGUGUACGUAUACGAUGGGGAUCGAAGGUAAACGAGGAAAAUCCUGUUAGUCUCUGUCGAGCAAGGAUAUUGAAAAUCCUCGAAUGAAAGGUAGAACACGUAGAAUUUCGACGGGUAUAAUAUAUUGUUCUUUCAUUUAAUUUAUAACGAAUCGUCGAACGAACGUGUACCCUGGGUUAAUAAAAAUGAUUAAUGUGUUUAGAUAAAAAA
This is a long non-coding RNA of Osmia bicornis bicornis, 531 nucleotides long. RefSeq lists it as uncharacterized. Lineage: Eukaryota; Metazoa; Arthropoda; Insecta; Hymenoptera; Megachilidae. The record is from RefSeq and is a predicted model, not a curated record. The transcript is spliced from 3 exons.